This 361-nucleotide ribosomal RNA is filed under the name uncultured eukaryote. Its description in RNAcentral is "partial 18S ribosomal RNA". It matches the Rfam family "Eukaryotic small subunit ribosomal RNA", at positions 592 to 976 of the family's 1831-position model. The record is from RNAcentral.
CAAUAGCAUAUAUUAACGUUGUUGCAGUUGAAAAGCUCGUAGUUGAACUUUUGUAGGAGCGACCUGGCCUUGGGCGCAUGCCCUUGUUUGCCGUGUGUCGUGUCUGGCCAUCCUUUUCUUCUGUUUGGAAGGAAUCCUUUACUGUGAGUAAACUGGAGUGCUCAAAACAAGACGUUUGUUUGGUACAUUAAAGCAUGGAAUAAUAAGAUAGGACCUGGUUACUAUUUUGUUGGUUUGCAUAGCUAGGUAAUGAUUAACAGGGACAGUUGGGGGUAUUCGUAUUUAAUUGUCAGAGGUGAAAUUCUUGGAUUUAUGAAAGACGAACGACUGCGAAAGCAUUUACCAAGGAUGUUUUCAUUAA